This 284-nucleotide small RNA is filed under the name Saimiri boliviensis boliviensis (Bolivian squirrel monkey). RNAcentral's name for it is "Metazoan signal recognition particle RNA (ENSSBOG00000000975.1)". Lineage: Eukaryota; Metazoa; Chordata; Mammalia; Primates; Cebidae. The record is from RNAcentral.
GCCAGGCGCAGUGGUGCACGGCUGUAAUCCCAGCUACCAGGGAGGCUGAGGUGGGAGGAUCACUUGAGUCCAGGAGUUCGAGGCUGCAGGGAGCUGUGAUCGUGCCACUGCACUCCAGCCUGGGUGACCGAGUGAGACCCUGUCUGUUAAAAAAAAACAUUUUAAGGCUGGGCAUUGUGGCUCAAGCCUGUAAUCCCAGCACUUUGGGAGGCUGAGGUGGGAGAAUCAUUUGAGAGGUCAGGAGUUCCAGGCCAGCCUGGGCAACAUGGUGAAACCCCGUCUCU